ACUGUGCUUUCUAGCUGCGCUGGCAUCCCCCCAUUUCUGGGUGGGCAGCGCUUGAUAGAGGAGGGGAGGAGGUGGACGAAACCUGGGCAUCGCCCCCCCCACAAAGAGAGCUGAGCUUCUGAGCGGCGGAGACUGCGAUCCCCAAAACGACCACACGGGGGCGCCAGGACAAGUGCGGACGCGGGCGAGGCAGCGCAAGGUGGUUCUCGUCCGAAGCUGUUGGGGUUUCUUCAGAGAAAGUCAAGCCACUGAUAGAAGGGAGAAACCACUGCUGGCUAUAGAGGGAAAGCACACACGAACCGGUCGUGAACAGACACGACCCAGAGGUACACACAUCGACAAUCUUUCCCUUUUCUCUUUCGAUUCGGACCCUUUCCAAGGUGAUUAACCAAACCGCAAGAUCCAGCCCUCUGCGGGGGCCUUGGGCAGGCAUCCCGCAUCGCAGAUUCACCCCUCCUCUCUCAGGUUCAAGCAGUCCUUGGGCGUGCUCCCUAUAGAUAGCACUGUGGCCGAAUAGGGAGCCUGGCCCCCUCCCCGACUUUCAAGCCCUUACCACCAGCCCAGUAUAGAUCUCUUACUGGCGCCCAGUUAGAUGCUGGCGGUGCCCUCUUCCUAUUGCGCUCAGCAACGCGGGCUCUGCACAGCAAGCAGCUUUGUAACCCACCCUCCCGCCUUCUGGCGCC
Molecule: RNA transcript, 683 nt
Organism: Nannospalax galili (Upper Galilee mountains blind mole rat)
Lineage: Eukaryota; Metazoa; Chordata; Mammalia; Rodentia; Spalacidae
Exons: 3
Source: RefSeq, a predicted model, not a curated record